UCCCGGCAGUCCAAGUCGCAGCCAACAUUAUUGGGUCUAAAACAUCCGUAGCUUGCUUAUUAAGUUCCUUGUGAAAUUCUACGUCUCAAGCGUGGAGCUUGCGGGGAAUACUGGUAAGCUAGAGACCGGAAGAUGCAAAGAGUACACUCAAGGUAGUGGUAAAAUACGUUAAUAUAUAGGGGAAUACCAAAAGCGAAGGCAGUUCACUGGCGCAUUUCUGACGCUGAAACACGAAAGCGUGGGUAGCGAAUGG
RNAcentral lists this ribosomal RNA (253 nucleotides) under uncultured archaeon. RNAcentral's name for it is "partial 16S ribosomal RNA". It matches the Rfam family "Archaeal small subunit ribosomal RNA", at positions 474 to 726 of the family's 1478-position model. The record is from RNAcentral.